Molecule: ribosomal RNA, 195 nt
Filed under: uncultured bacterium
Lineage: Bacteria
Description: partial 16S ribosomal RNA
Rfam family: Bacterial small subunit ribosomal RNA
Source: RNAcentral
CCUACGGGAGGCAGCAGUGGGGAAUAUUGGACAAUGGGCGGAAGCCUGAUCCAGCCAUGCCGCGUGUGUGAAGAAGGCCUUUUGGUUGUAAAGCACUUUAAGCGAGGAGGAGGCUACCGAGAUUAAUACUCUUGGAUAGUGGACGUUACUCGCAGAAUAAGCACCGGCUAACUCUGUGCCAGCAGCCGCGGUAAU